AUGACUCCCCUUACCUCAGGUGCGCUGUCUGAUCUGAUACUUCGGGAGUCAGGAUCGAGCCCGGUGAAGCCCGGGGAGACCCUGUCCCUCACCUGCACUGUCACCGGGGGCUCUGUCACUAGUAGUAACUCCCGGCAUUGGAUCCGCCAGCCUCCUAGGAAAGCUCUACAGUGGAUGGGGUACUGGUCAGGGUACACGGGCUACAACGCGGCAUUCAAGGGCCGCAUCUCCACCACUGCUGACACAGCUAAGAACCAGUUCUCCCUGCAGCUGAACUCCGUGACCGCCGAAGACACGGCUGUGUAUUACUGUGCACGAUGCGGUGAGAGAACAUCAGUGUGA
Molecule: non-coding RNA, 342 nt
Organism: Chinchilla lanigera (long-tailed chinchilla)
Lineage: Eukaryota; Metazoa; Chordata; Mammalia; Rodentia; Chinchillidae
Source: the annotation of a RefSeq genome assembly